AAUUUUCAACCCAGGGCUGAGUUCAACCCCGGGGUUGAAAUUUCAACCCUGCUUCAGCUAGCAGGGUUGAAAUUUCCACCCCGGGGUUGAACUCAGCCCUGGGUUGAAAA
RNAcentral lists this microRNA precursor (110 nucleotides) under Paramuricea clavata. The record is from RNAcentral. Lineage: Eukaryota; Metazoa; Cnidaria; Anthozoa; Malacalcyonacea; Plexauridae.